RNAcentral lists this ribosomal RNA (416 nucleotides) under uncultured bacterium. Its description in RNAcentral is "bacterial SSU rRNA". It matches the Rfam family "Bacterial small subunit ribosomal RNA", at positions 355 to 787 of the family's 1533-position model. The record is from RNAcentral.
UGAGGAAUAUUGCACAAUGGGGGAAACCCUGAUGCAGCGACGCCGCGUGAGUGAAGAAGUAUUUCGGUAUGUAAAGCUCUAUCAGCAGGGAAGAAAAUGACGGUACCUGACUAAGAAGCCCCGGCUAACUACGUGCCAGCAGCCGCGGUAAUACGUAGGGGGCAAGCGUUAUCCGGAAUUACUGGGUGUAAAGGGUGCGUAGGUGGUGCGGCAAGUCAGAAGUGAAAGCCCGGGGCUCAACCGUCCGGACUUGCAUUUGAACUGUCGGACUGGAGUGCAGGAGAGGUAAGCGGAAUUCCUAGUGUAGCGGUGAAAUGCGUAGAUAUUAGGAGGAACACCAGUGGCGAAGGCGGCUUACUGGACUGUAACUGACGUUGAGGCUCGAAAGCGUGGGGAGCAAACAGGAUUAGAUACCC